ACUCCUACGGGAGGCAGCAGUAGGGAAUCUUCCACAAUGGACGAAAGUCUGAUGGAGCAACGCCGCGUGAGUGAAGAAGGGUUUCGGCUCGUAAAACUCUGCUGUUAAAGAAGAACAUAUCUGAGAGUAACUGUUCAGGUAUUGACGGUAUUUAACCAGAAAGCCACGGCUAACUACGUGCCAGCAGCCGCGGUAAUACGUAGGUGGCAAGCGUUGUCCGGAUUUAUUGGGCGUAAAGCGAGCGCAGGCGGUUUUUAAGUCUGAUGUGAAAGCCUUCGGCUCAACCGAAGAAGUGCAUCGGAAACUGGGAAACUUGAGUGCAGAAGAGGACAGUGGAACUCCAUGUGUAGCGGUGAAAUGCGUAGAUAUAUGGAAGAACACCAGUGGCGAAGGCGGCUGUCUGGUCUGUAACUGACGCUGAGGCUCGAAAGUAUGGGUAGCAAACAGGAUUAGAUACCCUGGUAGGAUAGCG
Molecule: ribosomal RNA, 472 nt
Filed under: uncultured bacterium
Lineage: Bacteria
Description: bacterial SSU rRNA
Rfam family: Bacterial small subunit ribosomal RNA
Source: RNAcentral